UACGUAGGUGGCAAGCGUUGUCCGGAUUUAUUGGGUUUAAAGGGUGCGUAGGCGGCUUAUUAAGUCAGUGGUGAAAUACUCUAGCUCAACUAGAGGGGUGCCAUUGAUACUGAUGAGCUUGAGUACAGAUGAGGUAGGCGGAAUUGACGGUGUAGCGGUGAAAUGCGUAGAUAUCUGGAGGAACACCGGUGGCGAAGGCGGCAUCCUGGACCGAUACUGACGCUGAGGAGCGAAAGCCAGGGGAGCAAACGGG
Molecule: ribosomal RNA, 253 nt
Filed under: uncultured bacterium
Lineage: Bacteria
Description: partial 16S ribosomal RNA
Rfam family: Bacterial small subunit ribosomal RNA
Source: RNAcentral